UACGUAGGGGGCAAGCGUUAUCCGGAUUUACUGGGUGUAAAGGGAGCGUAGACGGAGUAGCAAGUCUGAUGUGAAAAUCCGGGGCCCAACCCGGACUGCAUUGGAAACUGUUGAUCUAGAGUGUCGGAGAGGUAAGUGGAAUUCCUAGUGUAGCGGUGAAAUGCGUAGAUAUUAGGAGGAACACCAGUGGCGAAGGCGGCUUACUGGACGAUGACUGACGUUGAGGCUCGAAAGCGUGGGGAGCAAACAGGAUUAGAACCUA
RNAcentral lists this ribosomal RNA (262 nucleotides) under uncultured bacterium. Its description in RNAcentral is "partial 16S ribosomal RNA". It matches the Rfam family "Bacterial small subunit ribosomal RNA", at positions 524 to 789 of the family's 1533-position model. The record is from RNAcentral.